GGGUGAGUAACAUAUCGGAACGUACCGGGUAGCGGGGGAUAACUGAUCGAAAGAUCAGCUAAUACCGCAUACGUCUUGAGAGGGAAAGCAGGGGACCUUCGGGCCUUGCGCUAUCCGAGCGGCCGAUAUCUGAUUAGCUGGUUGGCGGGGUAAAGGCCCACCAAGGCGACGAUCAGUAGCGGGUCUGAGAGGAUGAUCCGCCACACUGGGACUGAGACACGGCCCAGACUCCUACGGGAGGCAGCAGUGGGGAAUUUUGGACAAUGGGCGCAAGCCUGAUCCAGCCAUGCCGCGUGUCUGAAGAAGGCCUUCGGGUUGUAAAGGACUUUUGUCAGGGAAGAAAAGGCCGUUGCCAAUAUCGGCGGCCGAUGACGGUACCUGAAGAAUAAGCACCGGCUAACUACGUGCCAGCAGCCGCGGUAAUACGUAGGGUGCGAGCGUUAAUCGGAAUUACUGGGCGUAAAGCGGGCGCAGACGGUUACUUAAGCAGGAUGUGAAAUCCCCGGGCUCAACCCGGGAACUGCGUUCUG
RNAcentral lists this ribosomal RNA (530 nucleotides) under Neisseria gonorrhoeae. RNAcentral's name for it is "bacterial SSU rRNA". It matches the Rfam family "Bacterial small subunit ribosomal RNA", at positions 104 to 630 of the family's 1533-position model. Lineage: Bacteria; Pseudomonadati; Pseudomonadota; Betaproteobacteria; Neisseriales; Neisseriaceae. The record is from RNAcentral.